Molecule: ribosomal RNA, 428 nt
Filed under: uncultured bacterium
Lineage: Bacteria
Description: partial 16S ribosomal RNA
Rfam family: Bacterial small subunit ribosomal RNA
Source: RNAcentral
GUGGGGAAUAUUGGACAAUGGGCGAAAGCCUGAUCCAGCAAUGCCGCGUGAGUGAUGAAGGCCUUCGGGUCGUAAAGCUCUGUUGCAGGGGAAGAACACAAUGACGGUACCCUGCUAGAAAGGAUCGGCUAACUUCGUGCCAGCAGCCGCGGUAAGACGAGGGAUCCUAGCGUUGUUCGGAAUUAUUGGGCGUAAAGCGGGUGCAGGUGGCUUGGUAAGUCAGAUGUGAAAGCCUGGGGCUUAAACCCAGAAGUGCAUUUGAUACUGCUGGGCUUGAGUGCUGGAGAGGCUAUUAGAAUUCCUGGUGUAGUGGUGAAAUACGUAGAUAUCAGGAGGAAUACCGGAGGCGAAGGCGGAUAGCUGGCCAGACACUGACACUCAGACCCGAAAGCGUGGGGAUCAAACAGGAUUAGAUACCCCGGUAGUCC